This 253-nucleotide ribosomal RNA is filed under the name uncultured bacterium. Its description in RNAcentral is "partial 16S ribosomal RNA". It matches the Rfam family "Bacterial small subunit ribosomal RNA", at positions 524 to 776 of the family's 1533-position model. The record is from RNAcentral.
UACGAAGGGGGCUAGCGUUGCUCGGAAUCACUGGGCGUAAAGGGUGCGUAGGCGGGUCUUUAAGUCAGGGGUGAAAUCCUGGAGCUCAACUCCAGAACUGCCUUUGAUACUGAGGAUCUUGAGUUCGGGAGAGGUGAGUGGAACUGCGAGUGUAGAGGUGAAAUUCGUAGAUAUUCGGAAGAACACCAGUGGCGAAGGCGGCCAACUGGUCCGGCACUGACGCUGAGGUGCGAAAGCGUGGGGAGCAAACAGG